UACGGAGGGUGCAAGCGUUAUCCGGAAUCACUGGGUUUAAAGGGUGCGUAGGCGGCUAAAUAAGUCAGAGGUGAAAGCUUGCAGCUUAACUGCGAAAUUGCCUUUGACACUGUAUAGCUUGAAAGGAGCUGAGGUCAGCAGAAUGUGGCAUGUAGCGGUGAAAUGCAUAGAUAUGCCAUAGAAUACCAAUUGCGAAGGCAGCUGGCUGGGCUUACUUUGACGCUGAGGCACGGAAGCGUGGGGAUCGAUCAGG
Molecule: ribosomal RNA, 253 nt
Filed under: uncultured bacterium
Lineage: Bacteria
Description: partial 16S ribosomal RNA
Rfam family: Bacterial small subunit ribosomal RNA
Source: RNAcentral